Molecule: ribosomal RNA, 450 nt
Filed under: uncultured bacterium
Lineage: Bacteria
Description: bacterial SSU rRNA
Rfam family: Bacterial small subunit ribosomal RNA (bases 51-450)
Source: RNAcentral
AUGCAUGCUCGAGCGGCCGCCAGUGUGAUGGAUAUCUGCAGAAUUCGCCCUUAGCGGAGCGUGUGGUUUAAUUCGACGCARCGCGCAGAACCUUACCCAGGUUUGACAUGGCACUGCAAGCCGCUGAAAGGCGGUCGCCUUCGAGGGUGUGCCACAGAUGCUGCAUGGCAUGUCGAUCAGCUCGUGUCGUGAGAUGUUGGGUUAAGUCCCGCAACGAGCGCAACCCCUACGGUCAGUUACACGUGUCUGGCCGGACUGCCGUUUACGGAGGAAGGCGGGGAUGACGUCAAGUCCGCAUGGCUCUUACGCCUGGGGCGACACACACGCUACAAUGCCGCGACAGUGCGCUGCUACCGCGCAAGCGGAGGCUAAUCGCCAAACGCCGGCCCAGUGCANAUUGGGGGCUGAAAUCGCCCCCAUGAAGGCGGAGUUGCUAGUAACCGCGAAGGG